UCUGGAGAUCUCUGCGUAUCUGAAGUCUUCUGAAGGUAAGCAGCUUAUUUUCUUUAUUUCUGUACCUACUGUUGUUGUGUUUGAGUGAAUCCUCCCUCACUGUGGCAUGGGAUCUUGCUGUUUUGCUGUCAUUGUUGUGCUUACCAUUGCAUUUCAGAUUCCAACUUCUGGCUCCGCACAGGAUGACCCAAAAUUAAAAUCUGGUGUUCAAAAUCAUUGUGCAAAUGCUUCUUGAACUCCAACUGCUUGGGGUUAUUAUUGUUGCUGUGGGAAAACUGUUUAGGGGCUCCAAAACCCUCUCGUGAAGAACCUUUUCCUAACACAUUGCUUGAUAUUCCUUGACAUACAGCUCCGUGCCAUGCCAGGCUUCUCUACCCUCAAGGUAGUUAAAUACUCCACCCAGUUUAAAGUUGUCCAUGAACUUGUUUAUUAGGCCUUCUAGUUUUGAGUUCAAUUAAUUUAGGUAAACUUUAAAGAGGACUAAUUAGGGGCUAGUAUCUUUUUCCCUGUAACAUCUCUUUCUAAGCUUUCUACUUUCAAAUUUGAGCACAAAAUGUGUUAUCACUUAAUCCCCCAAAAUAUGAGAUUAAUUUACGUAUCUGUAGGCAUGUGGCAGUUUUCAUUGCAAAAGUUAUUAUAUAUUUGCAAUGUAAUUACAGAGCAGUUUCAUGAUAAUUAAAAAAUUAUUUGUGGAACGUGGAGUGAGACAUUAGAUGAAAUUGCUAUAUUGUCCUAUUUACCCAUAAUUAUUUGUCUAAAAAUAUAAGGGUGGAAUUUCAUGUUUUGUGCUCUCAGAGAGAUGCUUUAUGAGAACGAGAUACUUGUUUAGAUCUGAAUAAGUAUUUAGUGUUUAAAUAGUUUUCUCUACUCAUCCCCAAAACUUUGCAUUCAAUCUUUCCUCUACAAACCAUGAAAAUACUUCUGGCAGACAGGCAGCUCUUCAGCAUGUCCUCAGGUGCUUUUUGAGAUAAGAUAGAGAUGAAAAGUAGAAAAGCAUCUGUACACUGGAUGAUAAGGGUGAAAACAUAAAGUCACAGUGAUUUAUAGUAUCUCUAUGAUGUAUGUGGAGAACCUUUAUUUUUGCUCCUUUAAAAGAAAUGGAGCCUUGUACUUGAGGCUAAGGUUGGGGCCAUUAAUUGGGAAUUGUCAAGAAUGAAUUGCAAGUGCAGCGAGGUCUUGCUAAGAUUACGAAGCUGAAGCACAAUAAAACUAUUCUAGUACAUGGAAACUGCAUGCAAUUUAUCUACUGGGGUGUGUGUUAUGUUUCAGAAUGCUUUGAAUAACAGUGAUCUUCAUGGUCAUGAUAUUCAUGAGAGAACUAUUGGAGAAAAAGUUCAGGUAAACUUUAGACUGCAGCUGUUAUUUAUUUACUUGGUAGGUCUUUAGGAGCUAAGUUGUAUUGUUUAAUUCCAUGCAGCUUUAGAACGUAAGCCUGGUUCUCAAUGGCCUUAGCUCAUUUUGAGAAAGAUGGAGAUAUUUCAGAAGGUAUUAGGAUUUUUGUGGUAAACUAUAAAGUGGGGACCUUUGAACCAUUAUUUUGCACUUGUAAAUCAAGGCCAAGACCUUGAAGAGCCCCUUCUUCCUCGGUAAGAGGGGAGAUACUCUGGGUAAGACUGAGAGUAGCCCAAUUUGCUACAGUUGGUUUUUGAAAAACAAAGCUCAGAGCAUCACUAGUGCCUUUUAAUGGACCAAGCUAGAUCUCUGCUAGAUGUGAGUGCUGCACCUCCAAUACAUAUCUUAUGCUACAUUACUCUUUCUUUCUUUCUCCCCUCUAUUUGCUCUCUCUGAGGUGCCAACAAGAAAAUCAAUCUGAUAGUGAAUGGACUGCAGCAUGUUGUUCUCUCCCAGUUCCUACUGACAAACUAAACCCAGCAUCUAUAUCAAUUGCUUUGCACAGAUUUCUCUCUUAAAGUGUGUCGCCCUUCAAGGGAGGACUAAUGAUGCCAUUGCUUCUGCUAGCACUGCCAGACUUUUUUGGGGAUUUUUUUGCACUGAUUUUUGGGGAAUGCACAGGAAGGAGUUUCAUGGCUCUUUAUCCCUUUCUCCUAUCUUGAAGAAAAACUGCACUUCUCAAACAACAGUAACUGUUGCUUCUAUUUUCCUGCCUAAAAGUAUCUGAACCACACAACAUGAAAUAUUUCUUAGAGUAUAUGUGGUUUAAAAAAAAAAAGCUAAAUCUCUUUUGUUCUUCCUACUGAAGUUUUAUCCAUGGAGAGGAAGAGACUGUACAAAGAAGUACUGACAAAUCACUUAUUUCAAAACUGGAAGGAAACUUUUAAAGUGCUCAGAAAAGUUGCGCAUGGAGCCAUUUUAAAACUAACAACAGUGAUGACAUCUUGGAAUGAAUUCCUAUGGAAUUUGAAAGCAUAAGCAGCUGAACUUCGGUCAGAUCCAGUGACUUCCUAGAGACUUCAAUAUCUUGUUCAAAAUGGACAUCCACACCAUUUGAAGUUCCAUCUGGUCUAGGUGUGUAUUCCUGCUACUCUGCCUCAAGUUUUUAAAAAGCAAAUUUGUAAGCAAUGUUGUUUAGUUUUGAAUGCUUAAGCCCCAUCAGUUUCGCUGAACUUAAAGCACCUACUUGCAUUAAGAGAGAAGUACAUCUGCUGUUAUGGGUAUACUGCUUUCUCAGUCAGAAUGUGUGCUGGUAGUAGUGAUAUUUUACAUAUUGGUUAGGAAAUCUAACAGAUUUAUGAUAUAUCUUGAUGUAUUAACAGAUACAGUACAGUUUGUAAGAGAGGUUAAUUCUUAACAAAGCUGCAGUUUAUUAACACUUAAUUUUCAGUUUGUUUGUGGUGAGUUGCGUCUGUGUAACUCAAAUUCUGUAGAAAGAAAUACAUAACUAUAUGCCAAGAGUCCAUACUGACUAAAUCAGGAAUGACUGUUCUAAAAUAACUUUUAGAAGAACAUUGACUUUUCAACAAAACUUAUCUACCUUUCACUGGAUUCAAUGCUGAAAUCUCAUUUCUACAAAUUGGAGUAGAGCCCAUAGUGCUGCUUUUAAUUUUUGCAGCAAAAUGUUAAUAUAUCUUUCCAUGUUAGAAUCUAUAAAAGUCUUCUACCAAAAGCGUGUGCUAAUUGGAUAUUUUAAUUAAAUUGAUAUUAUUACAAUUUCUGCCCUUGGGAAUUUAUUUCCAUGUUUGUACAUCAGACAAGAACAUGACUUUCAAUCUACAAUUAAGGGAGAAAGGACAAAAUAUACAAUUAAGCAAGGACAAGCAGAAAGGCUUCUAAGUUUAUGUAAAAAGACAUUAAACAUGUCAGAUCAGAAAUUUAAUGAUGUCUUUUCAAGACCAGAAAGUGAAACUCUAGAUUUUGGAGACAUUUAUAUUGUUUCAUGACAUAGCUUUGUACCUCAAUCUGUUGGAAAACCAGGUGUAAUUACUUUCUUUUUGAGAGAGUUUAAAAAUUAUUCUAAGGAUACAAAGUCUUUAUGGAUAGAUUUUUAAGAUAUCCAAUAGUGAGUGGUUCAGUUUCUCCUGGUGACAUUUUUUCACUUCUACAGUCUUUAGUAUCCAUGAACUCAUAGUUCACCCAUGAAUUGAGCUCCAAAGCUUCUGGGUCAGUGAGCUCUUUACAUGUGACUUAACAUACUUUGCAGUAUACCUUGAGUUCUAUUUACAUUCACUUUGCAUCAUCAGAGGGGCAGAAAAUAUUUCCCAGGAGAUGAUUACAUCUAGGACCUGAAAUAAGGCAGGAUUCUUGGGGAA
Molecule: non-coding RNA, 3707 nt
Organism: Meleagris gallopavo (turkey)
Lineage: Eukaryota; Metazoa; Chordata; Aves; Galliformes; Phasianidae
Source: RefSeq, a predicted model, not a curated record